This 468-nucleotide ribosomal RNA is filed under the name uncultured bacterium. RNAcentral's name for it is "partial 16S ribosomal RNA". It matches the Rfam family "Bacterial small subunit ribosomal RNA", at positions 28 to 507 of the family's 1533-position model. The record is from RNAcentral.
GAUGAACGCUGGCGGCGUGCUUAACACAUGCAAGUCGAACGGACAGGCCCUGCUUUUGUGGGGUGCUCGAUUGGCGAACGGGUGAGUAACACGUGAGUAACCUGCCCUUGAAUUUGGGAUAACUUCAGGAAACUGGGGCUAAUACCGGAUAGGAGCUCCUGCUGCAUGGUGUGGGUUGGAAAGUUUCGGCGGUUGGGGAUGGACUCGCGGCUUAUCAGCUUGUUGGUGGAGUAGUGGCUUACCAAGGCUUUGACGGGUAGCCGGCCUGAGAGGGUGACUGGCCACAAUGGGACUGAGAUACGGCCCAGACGCCUACGGGAGGCAGCAGUGGGGAAUAUUGCACAAUGGGCGGAAGCCUGAGGCAGCAACGCCGCGUGCGGGAUGACGGCCUUCGGGUUAUAAACCGCUUUGGCCGGUGACGAAGCGGGAGUGACGGUAAUGGGUAAAGAAGCACCGGCUAACUACGUG